AUUGAACGCUGGCGGCAUGCUUUACACAUGCAAGUCGAACGGUAACAGGCCGCAAGGUCCUGACGAGUGGCGCACGGGUGAGUAUUGCAUCGGCACGUGCCCAGUCGUGGGGGAUAACUACUCGAAAGAGUAACUAAUACCGCAUACGAUCUAUGGCUGAGAGCGGGGGACCGCAAGGCUUCGCGCGAUUGGAGCGGCCGAUGUCAGAUUAGGUAGUUGGUGGGGUAAAGGCUCACCAAGCCAACGAUCUGUAGAUGGUCUGAGAGGACGACCAGCCACACUGGGACUGAGACACGGCCCAGACUCCUACGGGAGGCAGCAGUGGGGAAUUUUGGACAAUGGGCGCAAGCCUGAUCCAGCAAUGCCGCGUGCAGGAAGAAGGCCUUCGGGUUGUAAACUGCUUUUGUACGGAACGAAACGGCUCUGGUUAAUACCCGGGGCUAAUGACGGUACCGUAAGAAUAAGCACCGGCUAACUACGUG
This 482-nucleotide ribosomal RNA is filed under the name uncultured bacterium. RNAcentral describes it as "partial 16S ribosomal RNA". It matches the Rfam family "Bacterial small subunit ribosomal RNA", at positions 30 to 507 of the family's 1533-position model. The record is from RNAcentral.